This 253-nucleotide ribosomal RNA is filed under the name uncultured bacterium. Its description in RNAcentral is "partial 16S ribosomal RNA". It matches the Rfam family "Bacterial small subunit ribosomal RNA", at positions 524 to 776 of the family's 1533-position model. The record is from RNAcentral.
UACGGGGGGGGCAAGCGUUGUUCGGAAUUACUGGGCGUAAAGGGCUCGUAGGUGGCCAACUAAGUCAGACGUGAAAUCCCUCGGCUUAACCGGGGAACUGCGUCUGAUACUGGAUGGCUUGAGUUUGGGAGAGGGACGCGGAAUUCCAGGUGUAGCGGUGAAAUGCGUAGAUAUUAGGAAGAACACCGGUGGCGAAGGCGGCCCACUGGAUCGGUACUGACGCUGAGGUGCGAAAGCGUGGGGAGCAAACAGG